Molecule: ribosomal RNA, 331 nt
Filed under: uncultured bacterium
Lineage: Bacteria
Description: bacterial SSU rRNA
Rfam family: Bacterial small subunit ribosomal RNA
Source: RNAcentral
UCCGUAGGCGGUGUGGCAAGUCGGAAGUGAAAUCUCUGGGCUUAACUCAGAGGCUGCUUCCGAAACUGCCGUGCUAGAGUGCGAGAGAGGCAAGUGGAAUUGCGGGUGUAGCGGUGAAAUGCGUAGAUAUCCGCAGGAACAUCCGAGGCGAAAGCGGCUUGCUGGAUCGCAACUGACGCUGAGGGACGAAAGCUAGGGGAGCAAACAGGACUUAGAUACCCUGGUAGUCCUAGCCCUAAACCAUCAGGACUUGGGGUUUGCCCUGUACGGGGCAAGUCCCGUAGCUAACGCGUUAAGUCCUGCGCCUGGGGAGUACGGUCGCAAGGCUGAA